Molecule: ribosomal RNA, 506 nt
Filed under: uncultured bacterium
Lineage: Bacteria
Description: partial 16S ribosomal RNA
Rfam family: Bacterial small subunit ribosomal RNA
Source: RNAcentral
GAUGAACGCUAGCUACAGGCUUAACACAUGCAAGUCGAGGGGUAACGAGAGGAAAGCUUGCUUUCCUUGUCGACGACCGGCGCACGGGUGAGUAACGCGUAUCCAACCUGCCCCCAACUAAGGAAUAACCUUGCGAAAGUAAGACUAAUACCUUAUAAUUUCCUCAGAUGUCAUCUGACGAGGAAUAAAGAUUUAUCGGUUGUGGAUGGGGAUGCGUCUGAUUAGCUUGUUGGCGGGGUAACGGCCCACCAAGGCAACGAUCAGUAGGAGUUCUGAGAUGAAGGUCCCCCACCUUGGAACUAAGACACGGUCCAAACUCCUACGGGAGGCAGCAAUGAGUAAUAUUGGUCAAUGGGCGGAAGCCUGAACCAGCCAAGUAGCGUGCAGGAUGACGGCCCUAUGGGUUGUAAACUGCUUUUAUACAGGAAUAAAGUUAGCCACGUGUGGUUAUUUGUAGGUACUGUAUGAAUAAGGACCGGCUAAUUCCGUGCCAGCCGCCGCGGUAA